GAUGAAGAACGCAGCGAACGUGCGAAACGUAAUGUGAAUUGCAGAAUUCAGUGAAUCAUCGAAUCUUUGAACGCAUCUUGCGCUCCUUGGUAUUCCGAGGAGCAUGCCUGUUUGAGUGUCGUGAAUACUCUCAUCUUCAACCCUUUUUUCGGAAAGGGAGGAAGGUUGGACUUGGGUGUUUGUUGAAGUGCGAGCUUCGACUCAUCCUAAAUGCAUUAGCGAUCUGCCUCGAUCACACACAAUGUGAUAAUUAAAACUAAAGCAUUGUUUAAUGAUCAAGUCGAGACUGCUUCUAACUGUCGCAAGACAAUAACGUGCAUAUAUUUGUGCAUGUCAUUUGACCUCAAAUCAGGUAGGACUACCCGCUGAACUUAAGCAUAUCAAUAAGCGGAGGA
This 395-nucleotide unclassified non-coding RNA is filed under the name soil metagenome. RNAcentral's name for it is "partial contains 5.8S ribosomal RNA, internal transcribed spacer 2, and large subunit ribosomal RNA". The stretch from base 1 to 121 matches the Rfam family "5.8S ribosomal RNA", at positions 35 to 154 of the family's 154-position model. The record is from RNAcentral.